Long non-coding RNA from Psammomys obesus (fat sand rat), 2428 nucleotides. RefSeq lists it as uncharacterized. The transcript is spliced from 4 exons. The record is from RefSeq and is a predicted model, not a curated record. NCBI's taxonomy places the organism in Eukaryota, Metazoa, Chordata, Mammalia, Rodentia, Muridae.
CUCUAAUGAACAAGUUGUGUUCGCCAUUAACUUUUGGCAUUUACUAAAAUGUCAAAAUGGAAAGACUGUUCCAGGAGGUUUGAAAAUGAAUGUGAUCCAAGGGAAGGGUGUGUGACCGACAGGUGUGAAAGCUAGUCACAGAUUUGGCACCAGUAGCAGUCACAACACUAGGAACAAUUCCACUCACACAUGCAGGGCCUGGUCAGCACAGGGGACACUGACACAGAGAGCGUGAGUGAUGUGCCUGCCAACAGCCAGGCUGUAGAUGGGGAUUUGGUUAAAGGAGCUUCUCGUCAGAGUUUCUGCAUGUUCUGUCAGAGCCUGAGGAAGCACCACAGCAGGGCUACAUUCUUGUGUUGCUCCUUCUCUCCAGUAGUUUCCUUCUCAGGCUGAUUCAGACACUGUACAAAUUCUCCACACUUCUGUGUGCUGUAGGAUGCUGUGCUAAAUACGGAGAGAAGCUGAGGGGGCAAAGGCAGCAAGGAACUAUGCUCAGGUCAGGAGUCAUUGCCAAAGAGUAAGAGGAGCUGAGACCUCUGAGCAGGUCCUGUGUCUGAGAGCACUCAGCUGGCCCCAGGGCAGUGGUUCUCAACCUGUGGGUUGUAUUCCCUUUGGCAAACCUCUGUCUCCAAAAAUAUUUAUAUUUAUGAUUCAUAACAGUAGCAAAAUUACAGUUAUGAAGCAGCAAUGAAAACAAUCUUAUGGUUGGGGGGUCACAACCAUAGUAAAGGGUAGCAGCAUUAGGAAGGUUGAGAACCACUGACUUGGGAUCGAGGGAAGCCAGUAGCAAGAGUUGAGGCUAUUGAAUUCAGCUCCUUCAUUAAAGGCGACAGCCCAAGUUGCCUGUGGCUAUUACUUGGAUUAGGGCCAGUUUUCUUCUUCAAAAUUGUCUUUACACCAUUCAGCCUGAUAUGUCAAGAUACCACAUUUUGGUCUCAGGUCCCUACCUGGGUUGCUACUGUUCAUAUUCUGCUUAGCCACUUCCUGUCCAGCCCUUAAGUCUCAACUCAGACACCCUUCUUCCCAGUCCCCAGCCAAGACUGUGUGUGAUCCAGAACCUGCAGAAUGACUGGUCCCAGUGUGGCAGGGCAGAAGGGCAGUGGGGUACCCUUCAGCCCCAGGUACUUUUCUUUCCUGAAAAGUAACAUUUCAAACCAGUGAAUGUACCUGCUGGUUUGUACAAUGACAGCAGAAAUUCCAAUAAUCUCAUUUUAUUCAGAAAGCAUUGGUGUAUUGUCAGUUUCCAGUAGAUGCUUAAUGAGUGAUUAAACGCCAUUGGAAUUCAUUGGACAAGUUGGGGAGGGGAAAGGGUUAUGGGUUGUUCCAGGGUCUGCCUGGGUCUGUGCUUUUGGGUCACAAGGAAGAAUGGAAAGGGUUUGAAGGAUGGAAUGGUGUGUGGAAUAAAGUCUACAGAAGUGGGCAGAGCCUGAGAAAGGAGGCUUUUGUGUCCCCUUGAGAUGAGGGAGAACACUUUCAGUAGCAGCUUGCUGUCAACAAGACACUGUUGUCUUGGGCGCCUACCUCAAGGCAGGUGCCUGUGGGGUUUUUCUAAGCCUUGAGUGUAUUUGUGGUCAGAAACAGUGCGGUAUCGCUAUAUUUAAACUCAUCACUUGAGCCGUUGGAUUCUGAUCACAUCAGCAUGCCUGUGCUUCCUGCCAUCCUGUUCAGGUUGGAUCAGUGCUGAAGUAGAGCAGCUGUGAGGACUGUGGAGUCCACGAGGGGCUUUCUGCAGCAUGUUUUGCCUGGCUUUCUACCCAAGAUACAGAUUUUCUUCAGUGCUGUUUUACUGGGAGCUCUAAGCAAAAGACAUGAGGCCUCAUCUGAAAUGAGGUGGCUUUGAGGUCGUCCACUUUCUAGACGUGUGCGGUCACCUGGUGCUGAAAGCCCUCCACACAGAAUGAAACGAGAAAGCAAAGCAAGCCCACUUGACUACACUGCCCCUUCUGAGGCUAUAAGAGGUUUGCAAUUUUUUUUGGUGAUGGCAUGUUCAGAAUCUUGGAUCCUAAGUUGAAUGUUGGAAAUAUGUAGGAGCCUUGGAAGUUAUGUUGUUUUCAUACUUUAAUGUCUUGGUAGGUGAAUUAGUAGAUUAAACAGUGUAUGUAAAGGAAAUCCAUACUUUCAGUUGACAGGCAUCUCAGGAUUGUCACCUGUCUGAGUGGCGUGCUGGGAGACAGCUCUGCCACGGAGCUUCGCAGUGGACCUCUUAUGGUCCCGGGCAGUGUGUGGGAUCCCCCCCAUUAUGCCUCUGUUAGCUGGCUCUCUUUCCUACCCACCUUGCAGUGUGAGCUACUUAGACCACAGGGAUCACUGCUCAGGAGUUAUGAAGAGAAGAAAAAGCAUCAAGUGACAAUCUUAAAUGCAGUACUUACAGAAUUUCUACCUGGAAUCAUCUCACAAGGUCUGUAUUAGAAUAUGUUUGUUUUUUUUU